Molecule: transfer RNA, 69 nt
Filed under: Sericostoma personatum
Lineage: Eukaryota; Metazoa; Arthropoda; Insecta; Trichoptera; Sericostomatidae
Description: tRNA-Gln
Source: RNAcentral
UAUAUUUUAGUGUAAGAGGCACAAAAAUUUUUGAAAUUUUGGGUUUUAGUUUAAUUCUAAGAAAUAUAG